This is a long non-coding RNA of Tachysurus fulvidraco (yellow catfish), 895 nucleotides long. RefSeq lists it as uncharacterized. The transcript is spliced from 2 exons. The record is from RefSeq and is a predicted model, not a curated record. NCBI's taxonomy places the organism in Eukaryota, Metazoa, Chordata, Actinopteri, Siluriformes, Bagridae.
UAAAAAUGUAAGGAUUAGCAAUUGUAAGUCACCAUUGAUUACGGUUCCAAAAGGGUGGAAUUCUUCGUGUAGGCGCCCGUCAUCCACAUUGCAGUCAAGGUUCCUCAGAAGUAGUUUUACUGUCUGCAGAACAGGCUUGGGCGUUAUCUAUUGUGACGGCGGAGGAUACACCGGAGCAUGCACCGCCGCCUGGCGCAGCCAAAAUACCGCUCCUCGCCCCCGAAAGGCUAUAAAAACCCAGAAGGAAUAGGUGGAGGUACAGCACCAUGGACAGCGCCGCUGACAAAGCGCUAAAACGGAUUCAGCGCCGCUGUAUCAGCGUGCAAUAGGGAUAUACUGUAGCUGCUUUUAUUUCUUUGGGAGUGGGUUCCUUUUUCCCUUGUGUGUUUUUUGGUAGAGAGUCAUAAGUCCCACUGUAUUUUUCUUUUCUUUCACUAUUAGACUCUAAAGAGACGCCAUGUACAGUUGUUUGUACAGUAUAUAUUAUUUAUUCCCUGUCUGAAAAUAUACCAAUACCUUUUCCUAGAAAUUACCUUUCUGUUUUUUUGGUCUUUCACUCAAUUUUUAAAGGUAGCAAGUCACUGAAUCCUGAGCUAUAACUCUGUUCAGCUCAACCCUAGACUGGGUUGUAAAGAAAACUACUGCUGACAUAUAUAAUGUUAUCAUUGUUCAACUGUUCAGUUCAGCUGAUCAGGAGAAGCUUUUGUAUGGAUAUAGUGUCCAUAUUCUACAUGUCCCCUAAAUGUUCACUUUUAUUCUUCAGUGUGUGAUUUGACUGCUGUGUUUUUAUUUUUUUUUUAUUGUGCCUUUAAGAGUGAUAUAUGUUUAAUUUUCUCUGUUCCAUUUGCUUCCCUGUAUUGUGCUUCAUUAAAAAAAUAUUCGCCAAAAAAACGGA